This 253-nucleotide ribosomal RNA is filed under the name uncultured bacterium. RNAcentral describes it as "partial 16S ribosomal RNA". It matches the Rfam family "Bacterial small subunit ribosomal RNA", at positions 524 to 776 of the family's 1533-position model. The record is from RNAcentral.
UACGGGGGGGGCAAGCGUUGUUCGGAAUUACUGGGCGUAAAGGGCUCGUAGGCGGCCCACUAAGUCAGAUGUGAAAUCCCCAGGCUCAACCUGGGAACUGCAUCUGAUACUGGUGGGCUUGAAUUCGGGAGAGGGAUGCAGAAUUCCAGGUGUAGCGGUGAAAUGCGCAGAUAUCGGGAGGAACACCAAUGGCGAAGGCAGCUCGCUGGGACGGUACUGACGCUGAGACGCGAAAGCGUGGGGAGCAAACAGG